AGAGAGAGACAUGCGCGCAUAUCAAUAAGCGGAGGAAAAGAAACUAACAAGGAUUCCCUUAGUAACGGCGAGUGAAGCGGGAAGAGCUCAAAUUUGAAAUCUUCAAGGUUCUACCUUGACGAAUUGUAGUUUAUAGAAGUGUUUUCUGUUAGUGGAGUGGCAAAAGUUCUUUGGAAUAGGACAUCAUAGAGGGUGAGAAUCCCGUAUUUGGUCAUUCCUCCUAGCGUUGUGAUACACUUUCAACGAGUCGGAUUGUUUGGGAAUGCAGUCCAAAAUGGGUGGUGAAUUUCAUCUAAAGCUAAAUAUUGGCGAGAGACCGAUAGCGAACAAGUACCGUGAGGGAAAGAUGAAAAGAACUUUGAAAAGAGAGUUAAACAGUACGUGAAAUUGUCAAAAGGGAAGCGUUUGACACCAGUGUUGUUUUUCCGAAAAUCAAUUACGAAUGUUUUGUUUUUGAGGAGUUAUGACUUCAUCGGCUUGCUUCUUUCUUUACGAAACUUUCUUAAUGCACUUUUCGGUUAACAAGUCAACAUCAAUUUCUUUUGUUGUAAAAGGGUAUGAGGAAGGUGGCUUUCUUUUCGGAGAAAGUGUUUAUAGCCUUGUACCUCUGCAAUCGGAGAGAUUGAGGUCUGCAGCGUAGAUCCUUCGGGGUUAGAUACAUUUGUGCUAAGUUAUAGCUUUUCAUAGACAACUUGUUGACUAUGUUUAGUCUUGUAGCUUACUCGCUUAUGCUAUUUUACCUACGCUUAGGAUGUUGAUCUGUAGUGCGUGCGC
This 774-nucleotide ribosomal RNA is filed under the name uncultured Neocallimastigales. Its description in RNAcentral is "partial large subunit ribosomal RNA". It matches the Rfam family "Eukaryotic large subunit ribosomal RNA", at positions 23 to 647 of the family's 3401-position model. Lineage: Eukaryota; Fungi; Neocallimastigomycota; Neocallimastigomycetes; Neocallimastigales. The record is from RNAcentral.